Molecule: long non-coding RNA, 5474 nt
Organism: Ostrinia nubilalis (European corn borer)
Lineage: Eukaryota; Metazoa; Arthropoda; Insecta; Lepidoptera; Crambidae
Exons: 3
Source: RefSeq, a predicted model, not a curated record
CGGCGGCGUGUCGCCACCCGGCGGGCUCGGGCUGUAUGCUCCUAGGGCGUCUACUAGGGCACCUCCUAGAUGGAACGCUCCCUUCACAAGCCUGGAAGACGAGUUCAACAUAAUGACGGCGCCAUCAGGCCCCGACCACGUGGUGCUGCUCGACGACGGUGAGUAUCACCUGUAUGAGAACCGCCUGAUGCCAGAACGCUUCUUCCAAUCGAGCGUGAUCACGUCCGAAGCGACUGCGAUGGACACAGCCACCUCCGUCGGUCCCGUGGUGGAGCCCGACGACAUUGCGCCUGAUAAACAGGCUCCCGAUCUUCAUUCCCCGUGAUGCUCGCCCCCCGCGCCCGGCCCGAAGGACCACGAGCCCGGGGCAACGUACCAGGAGCCCGGGGCAACGUACCAGGAGCCGGGGGCGACGUACAAGGAGCCGGGGGCGACCGACAAGGAUUCAGACAAGGGGUGCGCGGGGGCGACUGUGCUGCGGUGGACGCCGGCGCCGUUGCCGCACUGGCGGCCGGUCUCGCAUCGGACUGUGUGAUUUUGAUUUCAAUUUCAAAUUCAAUUCGACGUCUUCGCACCGUCUGAAUCUGGAUUAAGCAAACGUAUUGUUAUUUUGCCUACUCUAAUUUCAUCUUGGCCCAAAGGUUAACUGGAGGAGAACGCCAUACGGCAUCAAGUUCAACUUUUGUACCUUGUUCAAUGUGCAAAUAGGGUGCGAUUUCCGACUGUAAGCAAAGUAAUAAAAACAAUCUGCCAAAAAAAAUUGCUUUUGGCGCAUAAGAGGUACCUAAUAUAUUUCAAAAUAUUGAAUAGGUAAUUAAUUUUCUAUGUCACCACUUGCUGUAAAAUCUAGCUUGAAAAUACUUUGAACAAUGCAUUAUAAUUUCAUUUAUGUUUUUAUUUUAAUUCAGACGAUCUGUAGACGUUAACAGCUUCGAUUAGUGGAAUUUUUAAUCGUGAAAAAGCGAUAAGUAAUUUGAAAUCUACUUAUAAUUUUGUGGCAUAUAAUAAUUUACUGGUCAUAUUGUUUAAGCUAUGUAGCAAUAUUUAUGUUACAGGCGAUGUUUUUAAACUUUUUGGUGGUGGUAAUUUAGUAUUCAAUUUUUGUAAUGGCGGCGAAUAAGCUAGGAGGGGGCUAAAUGUAAAUAUAAUUAGUAUAAAAUGGUCGAGGCGUCGGCAACGUAGUUGAACAAUUUUUAGUGUUAUUGGUCGCCUGCAGUUCCCAAAUUUUCUUUUAAAAGUUACCGAAAUUAUGUACAAGAACUCUAUUAAAAUUUCUUCAUGGAUAACUUCCAAGUUAUUUCGCCAGAGGCGCUAGCGGACUCUUGCACCUAGUGACUUUGCCCUGUCGGCUUUUCAAAGCGCCAUCUACCAAUGACAUAGGAACUACAGACCACCAAUAUCGCUACCAUUACUACAUUUAAGGCGGUAACAAAAUACAAUACAAUACUCCAACGAUAAAUAUGUAAAAAUAAUGCUACGAAAAAUUAAAAAAACAACAUAAUUAUAUUCUAAUAUUUUUAUAGAAUAUAAAAGUAUGAUAUGAUCAAGCCUUCCAGUAAUUUAGUGAAGUUAAUGAAAAUUCAGCUUGUAGCUAUUAUUUUGCUGGGCUGUAAGACAGGAAAGCGGAAUAAACAAAAUGCUUCCAGGACAAGCGUCAAAAUAAUAAUUAUUUGACGAAAGUGUGAUAUUAUAAGUUGUUUUCGUUUCGUUGUUGUGUGUUUUGUAUUGAAGAUAGAAUAAGCGGUAUUAGAAUACUUUUUUUUAAUUUAUUGAACGAAUAUUUAAGAAAGACGAGCCUUGCUUAAGAGAUUAGUUUAGUUGUAUUAUUAGUGGCCAUGAGAUUGCGGAUUACUGUUGUUUUGGUUCGACUAUUUAUUUAUUACAGACAAUGCAACAUCGACGUACGCACAAAUUUUAGAUAAUGGCAACUAAUGCACAAAAUAUGUAUGACUUAUUAUGAUAAUAAGUUUUAAGAACAUUCAUAUGAUCUCAAAACAGUUGCAUAAUGAUUAAGAUUUGCGACAGCGGAUCGAAAACCACAGUAAUUCGUCGUGUAGUUCGACAAUCUUCGUCGAGGGACAUUUUAUAGGUGCCUUUCAUAAGAAUAAAGUAACGUACUUUUAGAGACUUGUAAAUUGUAGUGUUCUUUUAAUAAAUCCAUCCGCUCAUACCUGUAACUUUGCAAUUCAUUAAUACCUACCUAAACUUAAGAUGAUGUAUUGUUUUCUGUAACCAAAUUAAAGUUAAGCAACUACAGUUAAGGUCUAAUGUAAAGUAUUUUGGUUACAGAAUUAAAGUCGAUACUAUUCUUUAUCUACGAAAUCCUAGUGAUUUAUUGUACUUAAUUAAUUUCAGUCAUUUUUUGCGUACCGUGGCCAUACGAGAAAAGCUAGUCAUUAGAGUUACAAUGUAAAUUUAAUAUAACUUAAAAUGAAAAAAUAUUUACAUUAUAUUACCCCUUACGCUUAUUAGUAAGGGGUUGAACCUAAAAUUGUGGCCAAAUUACACUUAAUAAAAUCCAAAUAUAUAUACACGAUUUUUAAUAGGUCUAGAUGUAUAAGUACUUAGUAAUAUAAGUUUGUAGUGACAAUAUGAUGAAGAAUGUAAUGUGACAGCUCGGGAAAUUUCGAGCAACGAAAGAAGAGUCUUAGUAAUUGUCAAGUUUACUCACACGAUGAUUUAAUUUACUAUCUGUAACUAUGUUUCUUAUGAACAUAUUGGACGCUGUCACAUUUAUCAUUUUGUAACACUAUUAAACUUUUAUUUACGUAGAAGAGAUUUAAUUUAAAACAAUAUUCAGGCUUUUCUUCUCAUACAUUUUAUCAAUAUGUAUUCUUUUUGUUACCGUUACCAAAUUCUUUUGAUGCCUUAAAUUACUUUUGUAAAUUAGAAAAAUAGGAUGAUAGGUAACGUAGCAAUAAAUGACAAGCAAUAAUUAUAAAUCUAAUUAUAAAGAAAACAGCUUUAGUGAAGCUAGAGAUUGGUACUGAGAGUAGUUUGAUCCUAUAUUCAUAACAAUUGACUUGCAGAAUAUUUUUUCUGUAGAAGAAAUGUGGCUGAACUGACUGGGUUAUAUAAAUUGGAAUUAAAAUUAGAAGAUCAGUUUGGUACAAUAUAACAUAGCUAAUCACAAAACAAAAACUAUAUUAGAACAUAAAAUACAGCUGUAAUAGUUCAACUAGGCAGAAAGGCGGGAAUUAGUCAAUUGCUAGCUAUAGACAUUAGAGGAUAUAAAACAGUUAGAAGAGAUAAUAGAAAUGUCACUUAUGGCUUGUUGACUACAUUGAUUCGGGAAACCUACACAACUUUGACGUAUUGUAAAAUCUGAACGAGGUGACUUUGUCGAGUCGGUAUGGAAUAUAAUAUUGGUGACGAAUUUAAACGCUCAUUGGUGCCGAAAAUUCUAGACUGUGAUUCAAUUGUUCAUUCUGAACGUGUCUUAUAUUGAAAUAGUUGUUUUGUAUGAUUGGCAAUACGCACGGCUAGUGCUAUGAGAACACUGUAUUACUACAGAGAGGGACAGAACAUGUUGUAUGAAAUGCAUUUGUUAUUAUUGUAAUAAAGAUUUGUAUCCAUAAAUAAAUGUAAAGCAAAGAGGUGUAAUUUAACUUUUAUUUUAUUAACAGCAUUCGUAGUUUUGGUAGUAGUUUAUUAAUAGCUUUGCUAUGAUUUUUGCGUGUAAGGGACAAAUAGAACAAUUUUCGAAUACAACGCAGUUCAAUAACUAAAAUGCCUAUGCACGUUUUUCUAUGUGUCUCUUUACAUGCAUGAUUAAUUACUUUUGAUUAGCACCACUGUUACGAUAUGGAGUAAUAUUGAAAGCCUAAACAUUAUGUGCCUUAGAUACAACAAUAUUGUAUGAUAUUUAUGAUGCGUUCUAUACAACGUGCUAACUAGAAAUAAAGAUAAACGUUAUUUUGAAAGCCUGGAACUUGGAUAAUUGUCUUCAUUGUUAGUGUUUAUUUCAGCGAAGGCUUGCGUGUGGAUCUUUCAAGAUUUUCUAUCACCCAGCACUCUUCCUGAAGCUAUCUUUAUUUCCCCCCUUGUAAUUUGACCUAUAAAAUUUAGAUUUUCUUUCAAAUCCCGUUAAUUUUUCAAAAUUAUGAGAAACUGGGCACCUAACAGUCUGGAAAUUGAUUUCGAAUCCAGAGUAUAUUACAAUUAUAACCCUCAUCUAAUGUUUAUUCUACAAUUAAGUAACGCUUUAAAGCGUAGUUUGCUGAAAAUAUUAAUACUUCUUACUAUAUUGUAUAAUUUUAGUAAAUACCUACAUUAUACCCAUUUAAGUACCUAUUAUAUACUUUUACUGGCAUGUAUAUCUACUCUACGCCACAAUUGAAUUAGGCACGCUUUUUAUUUGAAAUGAUUAGUAGAUAAUCUUUCAUUCUCGCAUGGCUUUUUACUAUUACCGAUUGAAAGGUACUAUAUCUACAAUUAAAUAUGUUUUAAUUUCUAUUAUUUUCUAUUCACAUAUUUAUAAAAGUUCUUAAUGGAACUCAAUCCGUCUUAUUAUUAAGUUUGUGGAUUUCUGAAAUUGAAAUAACAUACAUACGUAAAUAGAAAAUAAUUAUAAGUAUAAUUAACCAAUAGAAGAAUACUCCUAGUUAUGAAAUUUUAGUUGAUUGUACGUGCAAUUACAAUUAAUGUUUUGUUAGCGAAUUUAUUAAUUAAUUUUAGUGUACCUACUUGUGUCCAUGACCAUAUUGUUUGUAAAUAUGUUCCGGAGUGUAUUUAUAAUUUCUAUUUGUAUAAUUUAAUAGUAGAAAGCGAAUUUAUGUACUACGUUCUUUGUAAUUUGUCCUUACCGUGCUUUCAUAUUUUUAAAUUUCUUUUUUUACAUUUUUAUUUGUAUUCAAAGUCAUAAAGGAUCAAAUGUACUAUUUGGGAAAGGAACACGCGUACCAAAUAACAUCAGUUAUUGAAUCGAAUAGUUCAUUUGAUUUAGACAUAAUAAACUAAAGAUAGACUUGUAAAAAUGUUAUAACAUGUAUUUUUAACCUAUACAUAGUAAGAUAUUUAUAGAUUUUUAGUCGUUUAAUUAUUUCGAACGACUUGUUAUAAAGAAAAUUGGUGCUUAAAGCUUAACAAAAAAUGAACGGCAUAAUAGUGUCGAGUAUGUAUUGUCAUGGGGAGUCGAGCAUUAUGACAUAGCAUGCGUUGUUAUGCUUGCAUUACAUGUGGAAUUGCUUGUCAGCCAACGUUACAUAAAAAACAAAUGAGAAAAUAAUUGACUAAUUUUGAAAAUAGAAAAUCUUGAUUAAAAAAAUAGAACUUUAUUAAAAACACCUCGGUGCAAGGUUAGAGCGUGCAAAAAAGUAGCUUCGAAAUAAUUUUGUUGUUUGACGAUUUAAUAUUAUAAAAAUAAACGAUUUCACAUGUGAAUGUAAGCAGUUAUAAUAAUGUAGGUAAACUUUGCUCAAUAUCGAUGAAAACUGAAAGUGUUACAGUUGAUGCAAUACAAACAAACAAACACA